Molecule: transfer RNA, 61 nt
Filed under: Camelus bactrianus (Bactrian camel)
Lineage: Eukaryota; Metazoa; Chordata; Mammalia; Artiodactyla; Camelidae
Also listed under: 2 other names
Rfam family: tRNA
About the family: Transfer RNA (tRNA) molecules are approximately 80 nucleotides in length. Their secondary structure includes four short double-helical elements and three loops (D, anti-codon, and T loops). Further hydrogen bonds mediate the characteristic L-shaped molecular structure. tRNAs have two regions of fundamental functional importance: the anti-codon, which is responsible for specific mRNA codon recognition, and the 3' end, to which the tRNAs corresponding amino acid is attached (by aminoacyl-tRNA synthetases). tRNAs cope with the degeneracy of the genetic code in two manners: having more than one tRNA (with a specific anti-codon) for a particular amino acid; and 'wobble' base-pairing, i.e. permitting non-standard base-pairing at the 3rd anti-codon position.
Source: Rfam by way of RNAcentral
UAUAGCUCAGUGGUAGAGCACAUGCUUAGCAUGCAUGAGGUCCUGGGUUCAAUCUCCAGUA